AGCUCUCUUUUUGCCUUUUUUGGCUUAGAUCAAGAUGCAGUGACGGUUCUUCUUAGUUUAAUCUCUAGGACGUGUCUACGGGCACACUACUGAUUAACCCAAUUUUUGGAAAUAGCGCUGGUGGUCACUGAGCUCGCUCAUACCAGCGGCCACAGUGUCGUUCCUAUUGCACUACUUGGUCCUGACUCGAACACGCU
This 197-nucleotide small nuclear RNA is filed under the name Neofusicoccum parvum UCRNP2. RNAcentral describes it as "U2 spliceosomal RNA". It matches the Rfam family "U2 spliceosomal RNA". From Rfam's summary of the family: U2 is a small nuclear RNA (snRNA) component of the spliceosome (involved in pre-mRNA splicing). Complementary binding between U2 snRNA (in an area lying towards the 5' end but 3' to hairpin I) and the branchpoint sequence (BPS) of the intron results the bulging out of an unpaired adenosine, on the BPS, which initiates a nucleophilic attack at the intronic 5' splice site, thus starting the first of two transesterification reactions that mediate splicing. The record is from Rfam by way of RNAcentral. Lineage: Eukaryota; Fungi; Ascomycota; Dothideomycetes; Botryosphaeriales; Botryosphaeriaceae.